CUAGGAUGGGUGACCUCCUG
Molecule: non-coding RNA, 20 nt
Filed under: Arabidopsis thaliana (thale cress)
Lineage: Eukaryota; Viridiplantae; Streptophyta; Magnoliopsida; Brassicales; Brassicaceae
Source: RNAcentral